ACAGAAGUGACAUCUAAUGGACUGCUGGUGGUAAAAAGAAAAAGAAGAAUUGACAUAGACAGUAACAGUGAUAAAAUGGUAACAGCACAAGCAUGGAUGGAGGCUACGUUGAUGAUGUGCAUGUAGGAGCCAAAGUAGUGCUUGUGGUGAUAGUGCCAUGUUAAGCAGGGUGAAAUUGGUGAUUCUAAUUGCUAGCAUGAUAGCUGGUGGUGCUAGUAGAG
Molecule: unclassified non-coding RNA, 221 nt
Filed under: Hevea brasiliensis (rubber tree)
Lineage: Eukaryota; Viridiplantae; Streptophyta; Magnoliopsida; Malpighiales; Euphorbiaceae
Source: RNAcentral